RNAcentral lists this ribosomal RNA (253 nucleotides) under uncultured bacterium. RNAcentral's name for it is "partial 16S ribosomal RNA". It matches the Rfam family "Bacterial small subunit ribosomal RNA", at positions 524 to 776 of the family's 1533-position model. The record is from RNAcentral.
UACAGAGGGGGCAAGCGUUGUUCGGAAUUACUGGGCGUAAAGGGCGCGUAGGCGGCCUUCUAAGUCGAACGUGAAAUCCCCGGGCUCAACCCGGGAACUGCGUCCGAUACUGGAAGGCUUGAAUCCGGGAGAGGGAUGCGGAAUUCCAGGUGUAGCGGUGAAAUGCGCAGAUAUCGGGAGGAACACCUAUGGCGAAGGCAGCUCGCUGGGACGUUACUGACGCUGAGACGCGAAAGCGUGGGGAGCAAACAGG